RNAcentral lists this transfer RNA (86 nucleotides) under Amborella trichopoda. RNAcentral's name for it is "tRNA AMTR_s00068t00275510". It matches the Rfam family "tRNA". Rfam says of the family: Transfer RNA (tRNA) molecules are approximately 80 nucleotides in length. The record is from RNAcentral. Lineage: Eukaryota; Viridiplantae; Streptophyta; Magnoliopsida; Amborellales; Amborellaceae.
UGGGUCGAUGCCCUAGUGGUCAAAGGGGACGGACUGUAAAUUCGUUGGCAAUAUGUCUACGCUGGUUCAAAUCCAGCUCGGCCCAA